UACGAAGGGGGCUAGCGUUGUUCGGAAUUACUGGGCGUAAAGCGCGUGUAGGCGGUUGUUCAAGUCAGGUGUGAAAGCCUUGAGCUCAACUCAAGAAAUGUACUUGAUACUGGAUGACUAGAGGACCGGAGAGGAUAGUGGAAUUCCCAGUGUAGUGGUGAAAUACGUAGAGAUUGGGAAGAACACCAGUGGCGAAGGCGGCUAUCUGGACGGUUUCUGACGCUAAGACGCGAAAGCGUGGGGAGCAAACAGG
This 253-nucleotide ribosomal RNA is filed under the name uncultured bacterium. RNAcentral's name for it is "partial 16S ribosomal RNA". It matches the Rfam family "Bacterial small subunit ribosomal RNA", at positions 524 to 776 of the family's 1533-position model. The record is from RNAcentral.